Molecule: ribosomal RNA, 451 nt
Filed under: uncultured bacterium
Lineage: Bacteria
Description: bacterial SSU rRNA
Rfam family: Bacterial small subunit ribosomal RNA
Source: RNAcentral
GUGAGGAAUUUUGCGCAAUGGGGGAAACCCUGACGCAGCAACGCCGCGUGAGUGAUGAAGGCCUUCGGGUCGUAAAGCUCUGUCAAGUGGGAAGAAUUUGGUAUGGACGAACAGGACAUAUCAUUGACGGUACCACGAGAGGAAGCACCGGCUAACUCCGUGCCAGCAGCCGCGGUAAUACGGAGGGUGCGAGCGUUAUUCGGAAUUAUUGGGCGUAAAGGGCGCGUAGGCGGUUUGUCAAGUCAGAUGUGAAAUCCUAUGGCUUAACCAUGGAAGUGCAUUUGAAACGGAUAGGCUUGAGUAUGGGAGAGGAAAGUGGAAUUCCUGGUGUAGCGGUGAAAUGCGUAGAUAUCAGGAGGAACACCGGUGGCGAAGGCGACUUUCUGGACCAAUACUGACGCUGAGGCGCGAAGGCGUGGGGAGCAAACAGGAUUAGAAACCCGUGUAGUCC